AUAGAAUCCAGUUGUUUGCCGAGUUCAGAUUCAAUAUUGAACUUUCUGGCCACCAUUCCAUCAAAACGGUCAGCAAGAGCGGCAACAAAAAUAAGAAGCAAACUUAAAUUUAAGUUGCGAUUUAUUCCUGUAAUAAUCGCAAAACCGCCUAACGCCAAAUUUGUUAACGUUAAAACGUUGGCUGUUUGUGCUUUUAUUUUUUUGAUCGUCUGAUCAAGAACGUCAGAUAAAAACAUUUUUUUCACUCCUUGAUAUAAGAAGGAAGUUAACCUUUUAAUUAUAUUAUAUAAUAAUACUUUAUUUUAAGCUUUUUAUGACUGUACGUAAAGAGUAUUUCAACACAAGUUGGAGGUAAUCUUGUUGAUUUCAAGAAUUUAUCGCUUGUUUAUUGAGCUUACAAACGGAAGAUGGACAUCAAAUCUUUUAAAAAAAUUUGCCGGCUCGAAGGCAAGCCGUUUUAUUGUUCCAUCGUUUGCUAAAGUUUAUCAAAUAAAUGUGCAAGAAAUUGAAAAAGCAUUGAAUGAAUAUCCGACUCUACAUGAUUUCUUUAUCCGUAAAUUAAAAGAAGGAAGCAGGCAAAUUGAUCCGGAUGAUUUGUCAAUUGCAAGCCCGGUUGAUGCUGUAAUCGAAGAUGUCGGCAAUAUUUCAUCUGAAAAAAUGAUUAAAGUGAAGGGUAAGAUCUACUCGAUUUCUGAGAUGCUGGGCAAUAAUGGUUCAUUAAGCAAAUACGUCGAUGGUACUUAUAUGAUUUUUUAUUUAAGCCCGAGUCAUUAUCAUCGCAUCCACAGUCCGGUUACCGGGAAAAUAACGAAUCAAUGGACAC
Molecule: non-coding RNA, 823 nt
Filed under: Bacillus methanolicus MGA3
Lineage: Bacteria; Bacillati; Bacillota; Bacilli; Caryophanales; Bacillaceae
Source: RNAcentral